This 117-nucleotide non-coding RNA is filed under the name Paramoeba aestuarina. The record is from RNAcentral. Lineage: Eukaryota; Discosea; Flabellinia; Dactylopodida; Paramoebidae.
GAAGAUAAUACCACCUUAUCUUCUGCAUCCAUUGAUGAAGAAGUAGAGCCUCCUCCUCCUGAAGAACCUGUUAGACAACAAAUCCCUCCUCCCGCCCCCAAAAGAGAUCAAACCACC